Molecule: ribosomal RNA, 520 nt
Filed under: uncultured Glomus
Lineage: Eukaryota; Fungi; Glomeromycota; Glomeromycetes; Glomerales; Glomeraceae
Description: SSU rRNA
Rfam family: Eukaryotic small subunit ribosomal RNA
Source: RNAcentral
AGCAGCCGCGGUAAUUCCAGCUCCAAUAGCGUAUAUUAAAGUUGCUGCAGUUAAAAAGCUCGUAGUUGAAUUUCGGGAUCAAUAUGUUGGUCGUGCCUCGGUACGUACUAGCUUAUUGGUUUCUUCCUUCUGACGAACCAUAAUGUCAUUUAUUUGGUGUUAUGGGGAAUCAGGACUGUUACUUUGAAAAAUUAGAGUGUUUAAAGCAGGCUCACGCUUGAAUACAUUAGCAUGGAAUAAUGAAAUAGGACGUUUGAUUCUAUUUUGUUGGUUUCUAGGAUCGACGUAAUGAUUAAUAGGGAUAGUUGGGGGCAUUAGUAUUCAAUUGUCAGAGGUGAAAUUCUUGGAUUUAUUGAAGACUAACUACUGCGAAAGCAUUUGCCAAGGAUGUUUUCAUUAAUCAAGAACGAAAGUUAGGGGAUCGAAGACGAUCAGAUACCGUCGUAGUCUUAACCAUAAACUAUGCCGACUAGGGAUCGGAUGAUGUUAAUUUUUAAUGUACUCAUUCGGCGCCUUACGG